UACUUUUUUUAAAUAAAUGUUUCUUUAUGUGUUUCCCUCAGUUCCUGCCCAGGCUGACUCUAUCAUACAAGCUGUAACUUCUGCCAGUCCUAUCACCCAGCAAACAGUAAGAGAUGAAGUAAAUAUGAAAGAAUGACAAUGAAGUUGGAAAGAAGUGAAUGGUUCCAAGAACUAUGUUGGAGACAGAACUUGCAGGAUUUAAUGCCAUGAAGGAGACAGGGAAGAAGGGACAAUAACGUCCAGGUCUUUGUUUAUGGGAUGGUGGGUAAAACCAAUAGAUUCGUCACACAGAAAAAAGAAUGGUCAGAGGAAGAUGGCCAGUUAAAUUUUGGAUAAAU
Molecule: long non-coding RNA, 338 nt
Filed under: Pan paniscus (pygmy chimpanzee)
Lineage: Eukaryota; Metazoa; Chordata; Mammalia; Primates; Hominidae
Description: lncRNA (ENSPPAG00000044230.1)
Source: RNAcentral